RNAcentral lists this ribosomal RNA (468 nucleotides) under uncultured bacterium. Its description in RNAcentral is "partial 16S ribosomal RNA". It matches the Rfam family "Bacterial small subunit ribosomal RNA", at positions 28 to 507 of the family's 1533-position model. The record is from RNAcentral.
GACGAACGCUGGCGGCGUGCUUAACACAUGCAAGUCGAACGGAAAGGCCCUGCUUUUGUUGGGUGCUCGAGUGGCGAACGGGUGAGUAACACGUGAGUAACCUGCCCUUUACUUUGGGAUAACUUCAGGAAACUGGGGCUAAUACCGGAUAGGAGCUCCUGCUGCAUGGUGGGGGUUGGAAAGUUUCGGCGGUUGGGGAUGGACUCGCGGCUUAUCAGCUUGUUGGUGGGGUAGUGGCUUACCAAGGCUUUGACGGGUAGCCGGCCUGAGAGGGUGACCGGCGACAUUGGGACUGAGAUACGGCCCAGACUCCUACGGGAGGCAGCAGUGGGGAAUAUUGCACAAUGGGCGGAAGCCUGAUGCGGCAACGCCGCGUGCGGGAUGACGGCCUUCGGGUUGUAAACCGCUUUCGCCUGUGACGAAGCGUGAGUGACGGUAAUGGGUAAAGAAGCACCGACUAACUACGUG